Molecule: transfer RNA, 56 nt
Filed under: Panonychus ulmi (European red spider mite)
Lineage: Eukaryota; Metazoa; Arthropoda; Arachnida; Trombidiformes; Tetranychidae
Description: tRNA-His
Source: RNAcentral
AUUGAAAUAGUUUAUAAAAAAAUAGUAAAUUGUGGUUUUACUGAAAUUUUUCAAUA